Molecule: ribosomal RNA, 215 nt
Filed under: Paraphysomonas bandaiensis
Lineage: Eukaryota; Chrysophyceae; Chromulinales; Paraphysomonadaceae
Description: partial Eukaryotic large subunit ribosomal RNA
Rfam family: Eukaryotic large subunit ribosomal RNA
Source: RNAcentral
AUGCCUUUUAUCAACCCGUCUUGAACACGGACCAAGGAGUCAAGGUUUUGCGCGAGUGUUUGGGUGUCAAACCCGCACGCGUAAUGAAAGUGAACGUAGGUGAGAGCUUCGGCGCAUCAUCGACCGAUCCUGAUGUAUUCGGAUGGAUUUGAGUAGGAGCGUUAAGCCUUGGACCCGAAAGAUGGUGAACUAUGCUUGGAUAGGGUGAAGCCAGA